GUUUCUUGAUUCCGGUUAGAUUCUGGGCUCGUCCGUUUCUCUGUAUUUCGUGGGUCGUGCGCUGUUUCGAUGAAUUUUUCGGUUUUGGGUAUGUGGGAAUUGUGGGAUGGUUUCUUGGGUUCGAUGAGUUCUGUGGAAAGGAUGGUGUUGUGGGUUCGUCGGCCUUUCUUUUCUUUUGAUCGAAUUCACGAUGCGUUUUUCGCUAAACUUCGUCGGCCUUUCAGGUAAAUAUGGUCUUCAGUCAGCUUGUGAAGAUGCCACAAGACAAGUUCAGUAUUGAUGGUUAAAUCUUUUGCUAUAUAUUUCCUUAUGUAGGUGGUAGUUGCUCCAAUUCUCUUAGGAUCUUAUGUUCCUGUUGAUGCCAUUAAACUGUCGAUCAGCACCUUGCAGGUAAAUAUGGUCUUCAGUUAGCUCGUGAAGAUGCCAAGCUUUCCUCUCUUGUACAUCUUCAGCAAUGCUUAUUUUUUCAAAUUACUAUUUCUUGCUUUAGGUGAAGUGGUAGGUUGCCUUGUUAGAAAUAGUAGCUCUUUGAUAUUCUAAAGUGUGUGCUGUAACUACAUUUCGAGCAAAGCUUUUGAUCUAUUCCCUGGAUGUGUAGUACAGUAAAUUUAGCAGAGCAUCCACAAGUUAUUGAAAUUCAUUUUGAGAUAAGUGAAUUUGUCAUGUAGGAUUGAUUUUCACAAAGAAAAAUGAUUUUUUGGGCCUUAUGCUACGUCAUAAUCUUCCUUAAUUUGA
RNAcentral lists this long non-coding RNA (735 nucleotides) under Eucalyptus grandis. RNAcentral's name for it is "long non-coding RNA (EGRA_LNC002520)". Lineage: Eukaryota; Viridiplantae; Streptophyta; Magnoliopsida; Myrtales; Myrtaceae. The record is from RNAcentral.